RNAcentral lists this ribosomal RNA (458 nucleotides) under uncultured bacterium. Its description in RNAcentral is "bacterial SSU rRNA". It matches the Rfam family "Bacterial small subunit ribosomal RNA", at positions 340 to 786 of the family's 1533-position model. The record is from RNAcentral.
UACGGAAGGCAGCAGUGGGGAAUAUUGCACAAUGGGCGCAAGCCUGAUGCAGCCAUGCCGCGUGUAUGAAAAAGGCCUUCGGGUUGUAAAGUACUUUCAGUCGUGAGGAAGGUGUUAAGGUUAAUAACCUUAGCAAUUGACGUUAGCGACAGAAGAAGCACCGGCUAACUCCGUGCCAGCAGCCGCGGUAAUACGGAGGGUGCGAGCGUUAAUCGGAAUUACUGGGCGUAAAGGGCACGCAGGCGGUUAAUUAAGUUGGAUGUGAAAUCCCCGGGCUUAACCUGGGAAUGGCAUUCAAGACUGGUUAGCUAGAGUCUUGUAGAGGGGGUUAGAAGUUCCAUGUGUAGCGGUGAAAUGCGUAGAGAUGUGGAGGAAUACCGGUGGCGAAGGCGGCCCCUGGACAAAGGCUGACGCUCGAUGUGCGAAAGCGUGGGGACGCGAAACAGGGAUUAGACUAC